AUUGAACGCUGGCGGCAGGCUUAACACAUGCAAGUCGAGCGAGCGGAGGACGGGUGAGUAAUGUCUGGGAAACUGCCUGAUGGAUGGGGAUAACUACUGGAAACGGUAGCUAAUACCGCAUACCAUCAGAUGUGCCCCGAUGGGCUUAGCUAGUCGGUGGGGUAAUGGCUCAACUAGGCGACGAUCCCUAGCUGGUCUGAGAGGAUGACCAGCAACACUGGAACUGAGACACGGUCCAGACUCCUACGGGAGGCAGCAGUGGGGAAUAUUGCACAAUGGACGCAAGCCUGAUGCAGCCAUGCCGCGUGUGUGAAGAAUGCCUUCGGGUUGUAAAGCACUUUCAGCAAGGAGGCGUUACUGAAAGAAGAAGCAACGGCUAACUCCGUGCCAGCAGCCGCGGUAAUUC
RNAcentral lists this ribosomal RNA (406 nucleotides) under uncultured bacterium. RNAcentral's name for it is "partial 16S ribosomal RNA". It matches the Rfam family "Bacterial small subunit ribosomal RNA", at positions 30 to 526 of the family's 1533-position model. The record is from RNAcentral.